CGUAGGGUGCGAGCGUUGUCCGGAAUUAUUGGGCGUAAAGAGCUCGUAGGCGGUUUGUCGCGUCGGUCGUGAAAACCUGCAGCUUAACUGUGGGCUUGCGGUCGAUACGGGCAUGACUGGAGUUCGGCAGGGGAGACUGGAAUUCCUGGUGUAGCGGUGAAAUGCGCAGAUAUCAGGAGGAACACCGGUGGCGAAGGCGGGUCUCUGGGCCGAUACUGACGCUGAGGAGCGAAAGCGUGGGGGAGCGAACAGGAUU
RNAcentral lists this ribosomal RNA (256 nucleotides) under uncultured bacterium. Its description in RNAcentral is "partial 16S ribosomal RNA". It matches the Rfam family "Bacterial small subunit ribosomal RNA", at positions 526 to 779 of the family's 1533-position model. The record is from RNAcentral.